Molecule: ribosomal RNA, 1054 nt
Filed under: uncultured bacterium
Lineage: Bacteria
Description: bacterial SSU rRNA
Rfam family: Bacterial small subunit ribosomal RNA
Source: RNAcentral
AAUACCGCAUAUACUCUGAGGAGUAAAGUAGGGGAUCGAAAGACCUUAUGCUUUUGGAGCGGNCGAUGUCUGAUUAGCUAGUUGGUGGGGUAAUUGCCUACCAAGGCGACGAUCAGUNGUUGGUCUGAGAGGACGACCAGCCACACUGGGACUGAGACACGGACCANACUCCUACGGGAGGCAGCAGUGGGGAAUUUUGGACAAUGGGCGCAAGCCUGAUCCAGCAAUGCCGCGUGAGUGAAGAAGGCCUUCGGGUUGUAAAGCUCUUUCAGUUGAGAAGAAAAAAUUGUAACUAAUAAUUACAGUUCAUGACGGUAUCAACAGAAGAAGCACCGGCUAACUACGUGCCAGCAGCCGCGGUAAUACGUAGGGUGCAAGCGUUAAUCGGAAUUACUGGGCGUAAAGGGUGCGCAGGCGGUUCUGUAAGUCAGAUGUGAAAUCCCCGGGCUUAACCUGGGAACUGCGUUUGAAACUACAGGACUAGAGUGUGGCAGAGGGGGGUGGAAUUCCAUGUGUAGCAGUGAAAUGCGUAGAGAUAUGGAAGAACAUCGAUGGCGAAGGCAGCCCCCUGGGUUAACACUGACGCUCAUGCACGAAAGCGUGGGGAGCAAACAGGAUUAGAUACCCUGGUAGUCCACGCCCUAAACUAUGUCAACUAGUUGUCGGGCCUUAUUAGGUUUGGUAACGUAGCUAACGCGUAAGUUNCCGCCUGGGGAGUACGGUCGCAAGAUUAAAACUCAAAGNAAUUNANGGGGACCCGCACAANCGGUGGAUUAUGUGGNUUAAUUCGAUGCAACGCGAAAAACCUUACCUACCCUUGACAUGUCAGNAAGUUUUCANAGAUGAANUCGUGCUNGAAANAGAAUCUGANCACAGGUGCNGCAUGGCUGUCNCCAGCUCGUGUCGUNAGAUGUUGGGUUAAGUCCCGCAACGAGCGCAACCCUUGUCAUUAAUUGCCAUCAUUUAGUUGGGCACUUUAAUGAGACUGCCGGUGAUAAACCGGAGGAAGGUGNGNAUNACGUCAAGUCCUCAUGGCCCUUAUGGGUAGGGCUUC